UGAACCCUGCAUCUCUCAGUUUGGGACUGAUUUUUUUAAACCUGGGCAUGUCUGAUUUCCUGAGUUGGCACUUGCUGCACCUGCUGGUAAUGAUGCACCUGUUCCUCAUCAGCCAUCCCUACUUCUUAAGGAGAGACCAGACUUCCGUUCCCUGCUGGAUUGUUAAGUCGUGUACCGAAGAUCACCUGCUCUGCCUGCCUGCCUGCCAGUUCCAAGUACCUCAAAGCCGAGAUCCAAACUUUCCAGCCACACCAGCCAGCCCUCACGCUCCACUACUUGGAAAGAGACUCCCUGCCACCUCACCUUGCCUAGUUUGCUCACCCUGCCUCAGUCAAUAAACUGUUUAACUGCU
Long non-coding RNA from Micropterus salmoides (largemouth bass), 352 nucleotides. RefSeq lists it as uncharacterized. NCBI's taxonomy places the organism in Eukaryota, Metazoa, Chordata, Actinopteri, Centrarchiformes, Centrarchidae. The record is from RefSeq and is a predicted model, not a curated record. The transcript is spliced from 2 exons.